UGAUUUUCGACCCACUUAAUACUAUGUCCAGAGUAUAAAGCACUGCCCCCACUGAGCCCAUGAUAUUUGCCCCCACUUCUUUCAUUUUUCUUGUUAUUUUCAAAGCUGAAGCAGCCCGUCAGCCUGUUCUAGGCAGCCCACAUAGACGCCUGCACGACGGCCUAGAUGGUAUGCGUACGAGCGAGGCCUUGAAAUGCACGCAGGCACGAGCCACGACCUUGUCUAAAGAAAACAAAAAAAACAAGCCACGACCUAGACGGAGAUGGGGUACCCCUCAAAAAAUAGGGACGGAGAUGGGGUCCUAGACUGCUAGACGUGACCCGCCGCCGCCGUGACCACGCGAGAUGUGAAGCUACCUCGCCAGACUGCCUCAUCGCUCCGGGAACGAUCUGCGCCUUGCACGUCGGCUGGUCCUUACCGUUCUUUGGUUCUUGGAUUCAGAAGAUCGGUACAAGCACUACGUGUUUUUAUCAAUCGAGGAUGCUGUUAACGUGACACUACGAUCAGAGACCCUUUGACGAAACUGUGUGCGAUGAAUUAAUUGUAAAUGGUGAUGUAAAAACCCCGUCAAAAAAGAUGCAAAACGUUUGUGAUGAAGGAUACAUCAAACACGGUUUAGAUUUUA
Non-coding RNA from Aegilops tauschii subsp. strangulata, 625 nucleotides. The record is from RefSeq and is a predicted model, not a curated record. Lineage: Eukaryota; Viridiplantae; Streptophyta; Magnoliopsida; Poales; Poaceae.